This 280-nucleotide long non-coding RNA is filed under the name Mytilus galloprovincialis (Mediterranean mussel). The record is from RNAcentral. Lineage: Eukaryota; Metazoa; Mollusca; Bivalvia; Mytilida; Mytilidae.
GGCGGAGAUGCUAAUAUUUACCCCAAACUUCAAGAUUGACAUGAUUCAUAUGAUAUAUAUUGUGUGUGUUAUUUUCCAGUUCAUUAAGAUAGGUCAGUUUGCCAAAUAAAGGCUACAGAUGUAUACCGCUGUUCAAACCUAUAAAUGAAGCUAAAUCCGAAAAUCGCAGUAAUCGCGGACAAAUAAGCAGCUGAUUUAAAUCGGUUAAAUGACGGUUCUAUUUGGUCCGUUUUGGCCUUUGUUCUCUCAUAUGUUUUAUUUUUCAUUUUUCUUUUUUUUU